Molecule: long non-coding RNA, 405 nt
Organism: Perca fluviatilis (European perch)
Lineage: Eukaryota; Metazoa; Chordata; Actinopteri; Perciformes; Percidae
Exons: 3
Source: RefSeq, a predicted model, not a curated record
CUGAAAGCUGAAGUGUGUGAACUAAUGGUUUUGAACCUCUGCCUGAUGUUUUUGGAAUUUGGAUUUUCCACCUGCCCGCGGUUUUGACCCUUCCUGCCUCAUUAAUCUAUCAUGCCGGAACUUCUGCGUGACAGCCAGAGCCAUGCGUGGCCAACAUCACACAUCAGCAGCGGUGGGGAUUUUCAGACUGUUACAUCUGAUGAAUAAAUGGAAAAAACUGAUCUGAGAGGGUGCGGCCGUCUUUUGAUGAUGCUCCAGUGACAGUUGAACACUGUAUAUUCUAUAAUCCUGCUUUAAUAUGAGGACACACACACUCUCUCACCUCUGUGUUUUACAAGCUGCGCCGUCUCUCUCUAUUCCCCGUUAACAAGAUAUAAAGUUAGAGUGCUAGCACUCACUCGGUCA